GGUCAGUUUCAAAAGGAAAUACUUUGUUUAGGGCAGCAUUACACAGUUUCAAACCAAUUAUAUGCUGAGAUUUUCAAACAUAUUAUCUGCCGAGAUUUUCAUACCCACUAUUUGUCGAGAUUUCAAUCCCCUUAUUUCCCGAGAUUUUCAAUCCCAUUGUUAUGGUAAAAAUGGUUUUACAGGAGAUAUUGAAUUGCAAAUGAAAUUUUUUCAAAAAAUCCAUGCAAAUUGGAUCUUAAGAUUUAAAGCGUAAUUCAUAUAUAAAUGAAAUUUAGC
RNAcentral lists this long non-coding RNA (276 nucleotides) under Mytilus galloprovincialis (Mediterranean mussel). The record is from RNAcentral. Lineage: Eukaryota; Metazoa; Mollusca; Bivalvia; Mytilida; Mytilidae.